RNAcentral lists this long non-coding RNA (940 nucleotides) under Drosophila melanogaster (fruit fly). RNAcentral describes it as "long non-coding RNA:CR45115 (Dmel_CR45115)". The record is from RNAcentral. Lineage: Eukaryota; Metazoa; Arthropoda; Insecta; Diptera; Drosophilidae.
AUAUUAAUGCAUAUACCUAUAUAAAACAAUAUUACCAGCCUAGAACUGAGAGCUUUAUAUUAGCACACCUACUGUGAGUGGCUAGUAAAACCCAUUCUGCAGCGCAAUUUCUCGAUGCCAUAAUUAAUUGAUUGCCGCCAGAUAGUUUCUCCGUCGAGUUUCCCGUUUCUCGGAAUGCAUUUGCAAGCCACCAGUUGACCCUGGGACCCAUCUGGUGAUGGUACUCACAACUUACAACUCACAGCUCGCAAACACACACCCAACCCCGCAAACAAAACAGUUGGCUAAUUAAACGAAAGCUUCCUCUGAUCAAACAUUGAUUGUGCAUUAAACUGCUGGCCAAACAAGCAAAUAUUCGGGCCCAAACAAAGCCUACUCGCCAACAAUUGUGGACAAAUUGUGGGUGAAUUAGCGUCUCGGCCGGGGCGCAAGUGUAAAUAUUUAUUGCACUAGGCCACACCUACGAGCGAAAUAUAAAAUCAAGCCAAGGAGGCUGGCCCACCAAGUCAACCCUCGGGACAUAACUCGGAUAGCUCCGGUGGCAGGAAGCGACUAAUUUGAGCAACCCUUGUGGCCGGGCAAACACCUCAGCGCACCAGAUCGAACAAAGCCAAGGCCAAAACAGAAAUUGGAGUUGACAUGUGUAUCCUUUUCAUUAACUCGCGACGCCAGCGCCGACAGGCUGUGUGGUCCUGCGGCAUAUCCCGUCCAAAUGCUCUCCACAAAGGCAACUUUCAACAAGUCAGAGCGGGAUUUUGGUGGUAAAAACUUUUUAUUACCCUAUAUGUUUUGUAAAGAAUUUUAAGACUUAUAGUUUACCGAACAUUUAUCUUAAAAGAGUUGCCAAGUAUGUAUUACAUCUAAGUUUCGAUCACAAACCAUCUAGAGCAAGAUAUUUUGUUUACACCUAUAACUAUUUAAUAAACAAUAUUUUCAAAUU